Molecule: long non-coding RNA, 1736 nt
Organism: Thunnus maccoyii (southern bluefin tuna)
Lineage: Eukaryota; Metazoa; Chordata; Actinopteri; Scombriformes; Scombridae
Exons: 7
Source: RefSeq, a predicted model, not a curated record
AGUUCUGUGUCAGCUUAAAACUGCUUUAAGGAACAGGCUGCAGGUUACUUGUCAUCAUGAUAAGAAUCGUAGUUCAGUUUGGAUGUGAGCAUCAGCAACAUGUGAAUGCAACAGUAAACCACAGAAAGGACAGUGUCAUCGGUGAAGAGGAUGAACCGUUGUCCGAGAUACAGAACAAACCUGAACAUAUUUGGACAUGAUCAACAAAGUCCACAACCGUCAGGGUUUAUGUGAGCCUCCCCAGAAACAUUGUGCAUAAAAGGGUGGUUCCUCUUUUAGUGUGAAGCUGCAGUAUAUAAGAUCAAAACGCUAUGGUUCAGUCAUCAUAAGACUUUGGCAAGUUGAACCGUUAGUAACUGAAUCAAGGAGACAUUUACAGCUGAGAUCCAGAGUCAGUUUUUGUGCCGUGCAGUAUUUGAAUAUGAAGAAGACUCUCUGGGUUUGUCUGCUCACCCUGGCUGUUGUGAUGUCCUUCUUUUCAUCACACGGUUUUGGCAUAUUUUAUCCCUGCUGCAUGAAAGCCAAUGCUCCAAGGAAGAAAUCUAUUGGGCCAAUCAAGACAUGUGUUGAACAGAAAUCACGAAAGGGUUGCAAGUACGAUGCCUUCAUGAUUGAGACCAACAAUGGUUUCAAGUGUCUCAAACCAGAUACCCCGUGGCUCAAAAAGGAAAUAAAUGAGGGAAGAUUGAGGUGUCCUUCAGAAUUCUCACACAAACUCAGAUUUGAAGUCCUGGAUGAAGAUGAUUUGGAAUAAAAACAGCAGUCUAGAACAAUUUCUGAUGAUUUACUACUUAUUGCUUUUACUGAAAUAUCAAGAUGUUUCAAGCAGAGUUGUUCUUUUUUGGGAGAAAUAAAGCCAAAGAUAAAUUGUAUUAAAUUGAUUUGAAAACUGUUGUUUUUCUACAUGUAUAAUGUUCGCUUUUAGUAUAUUAGAGGCUUGUAAUACAGUCAGAGCAGUGGUGAUUCAUUGCUGUAUAUGUAACUCAGAGUCUGUGCAGUUAAAAUGGAAAUGCUCGAUCUAUAAAUAAAUGUGUGAUCAGUCAAUCAGGGUCAUUCUUAGCUGUAGAUCUCAGUCAUCAUUGUGUCAAUGGACAUCCCCUCUGAUGUAGCCAAGUACAGUAUCACUGUAAAGACAAUUACUGUGCAAUUUGUCCAAUCUGUAUAAAAUAAAAUUUCACCAAAGCAGUUUAUAACUUAAAAUGAGCUUACUGCAUGAUCUCUAUCAUGGCAGUAAUCUUUGUUUCCAGGGUUAAAACAUGGAAAGGAGUGUGGUGUAUCAAACCAGACUCCAAGUGGCUGAAACAGCAGAUGAAGGUGGGUUAAAACAUGGAAGGGAUGGACGUGUAUCUAUCCAAACUCCAAGUGGCUGAAACAGCAGAUGAAGGUGGGUUAAAACAUGGAAGGGAUGGACGUGUAUCUAUCCAAACUCCAAGUGGCAGCAGAUGAGGUGGGAAAAUUUGGUUGUCCACCUUUGUGGACUUCAAAGCUCAGCUUUCAAGACAUGGAGGAAGAUGUUGCAGCAUAACCAACACAUCAAGGCAACAGAGCAACUCUGAACUCCUGAUUUACUAUUCAUUUCAUUCAUUAAAGUAUCUGUUUAAAAUGUAUGCCAUUUUAUAUCUACUUUAAAACCAAUCGUUAUGAUCUUAUGUUGUAAAAUGAACUAAAACAGUAAUAGCAGAGUUGUUCUUUUUUGGAGUUGAACCUGGAACCAAAAAUAAAUCAUAUUAAAUGGA